Callithrix jacchus (white-tufted-ear marmoset) is the source of this 1903-nucleotide long non-coding RNA. RefSeq lists it as uncharacterized. Lineage: Eukaryota; Metazoa; Chordata; Mammalia; Primates; Cebidae. The record is from RefSeq and is a predicted model, not a curated record.
AAUAAUGGAUAGUAACUACUAUGUAGUCACUCUUUCUAUGUGUUGGCCUCUCUGUUGUUCAUAUUGUAUACAGACUGUGGCAGUAGUUUGUAAAAUUUAUUAAUUUCUGUCAUUUUUUUUCAGAGAUAAUUUUCUUUUCUUUCUUCCUACUUCGGUUUUCCAGUGUUCUAACAGCUAGACAUUUUGAUGAUCAUGGUCCAGGGGAUGUUUCUAGUACCUCUUAGUCACCCACUUUCAUCCUCAAGCUCUGACUUCCCUCUGGGUCUUCCUGAUUUGUUCUGCUACAGGAAGACUCUGCAUUGCCUCUGUUCAGCCACAGCAGGCCAGGAGGAUACCUCCACCGUGCCAACAGUGGUCAUACUCAGGGUGCACUGGUCCCUCCACCACUUCUCAGAAGGCCAAAUGCAGAGGUGGGGUUUGGCUUCUCCACUGGCUGCUGAUGGCAGCAGAUGAAGCAACUCACAACUGAGGGGUAGGGCUACAUUUGGCAAAUGAGAGCAGAAAGUGACCAAUAAAUGAAUGCUUUACCUCGCCCUAAACCCUAUUCUUACAACAUUUCAGAGAUACUGUAGUUCCAAAACAACUACACUUGUAAAAAGUCAUAUUCCCCCCUUACAUUUGUCUUCUCUCCUGACUCACACUUCAUUUAACUCACUUUUGCUUUCCUGGAAUUACAUUCGCCACUAAAAUAUUAGCAUACAUUCUUUAGGUUUGAGUUCCGUGUUCUAGGAAGUCUGGGCUAAAACAAGGAUAAAAACGUUUAAACAGGGAAAUACUUGGAGAUUUUUUCAUGUCCUUGGUUUUCAAAUCCUAAAUUCUCUAGAGAAAUGGAGAGGAGUGUUGACACGGAUAUUUGAGAACAAGAUAGAAGGAAAAAUUGGAAAAAGCAGAGUCUAUGAAACUACAUGAGUUCAAAAAAAGCUUCAACGACCACUUACAAGAAGAGGAAGCUAUUAGAGUACACAUAGCAGUGGAAUGAAACCAUCUGACUUCAGGUGACAUUGCUAUGCCAAGAACAGACUGUGGUUGAUGGAGGAGAGGAACAGGUGUGGAGGGAUCUCCAACUUCCAGGCCGUAGACUGAAACCAGUUCACAGCCAGUUAGGAACCAGUCUGCACAGCAGGAGGUGAAUGGCUGGAUCAUACUGGGAAGGCUGUGUUUCAUCUCCUGUUACAAUUCUUCAAACAAAUGCUGCAGGAUCUCCAUCCCACUUGCCUGAAAUUUCUACUGGAAGCUCUGAAAUUGUUUGCAGCUGAUCUGUUAGUAAUGGUUUGGCCCCCUUUACGUGAAAAGUUUGCUCUACUUUAAUCUUUCAGUCAGAAUUGCAAGCUGGACUGUUUAAGAUGUCUAUGGUAUUGGAUGUGGCUUAUGCUAGUAAUCAUCUUUUCUCUUCAACUGGGUCACAAAGCUUUUUUUUUUUUUUCUUUGCAAAUUGAUGUGGACGGUCUGCUAUUUUGUAAGUUACGUUUAACAUAUCUUAUCUCUUAUAACAAGCUACCCUUUGGUCAACUGCUGAUUUCUUUGAGGAUGUUGUCCACAAAAACAUUCUGUACUGUAGAAAUGAUUUCACCAUUCCUGCACCAGAACGCUAAUGUAAAUUUGAUGUUUGUUCUUUUUCAAUUUUAGCAGAAUUCAGGUUUCUCUGAUAAGCACUCUUUUCGAACUGAUGUCUUAACCGUCAUAAUUCCUCAAAGUAUAUCCUGUUCAGAGAUUUUAUAACAAGGUAUAACGAGUUUACUUUUGUGCCAAAAUGUCAAAAUCUAGGUGUUUUUCCAUAAUAGUCAUUUUCUAUAAACUUUUUGAAGAACUCUAUGCUCUAGAAAACUUAUUUCAUGUUUAGUUGAAAUUUAAGAACAUACAUUCUAUUAAGAAACUUAAAUUACCAAAUAACCAUAAAAAUCAA